Molecule: long non-coding RNA, 213 nt
Filed under: Solanum tuberosum (potato)
Lineage: Eukaryota; Viridiplantae; Streptophyta; Magnoliopsida; Solanales; Solanaceae
Description: long non-coding RNA (STUB_LNC000127)
Source: RNAcentral
GGGUCGUUUGGUGUGAGGGAUAAUACCAAAUAGUCCCGGGAUUAAAUUAUAGUACCGCUUAUUUUGUUGUUUGGUUGGCAAGUUCGGGAUAACUUAUCCCGGGAUUAAUAAUUAGUACUGGGAUAAGUUAUCCCUAACCUAGGGUGGUAUAGUAAUCCCGGGAUAACUUAUCCCGGGAUAAAAUAGGUAAAUGACAAAAAUGUCUCUGUCAAC